Molecule: unclassified non-coding RNA, 202 nt
Filed under: uncultured Basidiomycota
Lineage: Eukaryota; Fungi; Basidiomycota
Description: sequence contains ITS2
Source: RNAcentral
CAUUCUCAAACCUGAUUCAUGCUUUUGCAAGUUCAGGCUUGGAUUUGGAGUGUGCUGGCCUUUGUUUUGAAGGGGUCGGCUCCUCUGAAAUUUAUUAGCAGACGGUUCCCCGAAAGCCUGUUGGCAUUGAUAGCUUGUCUAUGCUGCUUGUUUUUUUUGGGGUGGCUUGCUCACAAACAAGUCUUUCGAGACAUUUGAACCA